UACGGGGGGGGCAAGCGUUGUUCGGAAUUACUGGGCGUAAAGGGCUCGUAGGCGGCCAACUAAGUCAGACGUGAAAUCCCUCGGCUUAACCGGGGAACUGCGUCUGAUACUGGAUGGCUUGAGUUUGGGAGAGGGAUGCGGAAUUCCAGGUGUAGCGGUGAAAUGCGUAGAUAUUGGGAGGAACACUAGUGGCGAAGGCGGCUCACUGGACCGGUACUGACGCUGAGGCGCGAAAGCGUGGGGAGCAAACGGG
RNAcentral lists this ribosomal RNA (253 nucleotides) under uncultured bacterium. RNAcentral's name for it is "partial 16S ribosomal RNA". It matches the Rfam family "Bacterial small subunit ribosomal RNA", at positions 524 to 776 of the family's 1533-position model. The record is from RNAcentral.